CCCGGGCCGGCCGCCCCCGGCGCCGCACUCUCGGUGAGUAGCCCCGUCGCUUUUCUUGGCAGCGGCCGGGAGGAGAGCCCGGUGCCCCCCGCGGGCUCCGCCGCCCUGCCCGCUGGCCACCCUCUGGGGGCGGGGGAGAUCCGCCGCCGGGCGCGGUUGCCCGGGUGCCGUUGCCUCCCCCGCCCACCCCUCGGCGGGGCCGCGGCGAGCAGGAGGCGGCGGGGAGACAAAAGCGGACAAAGGAGGCAAAAGGCGUGUUCCGCUGCCGGGGUAGGGAUGUCUGGGCACCGCUCUGCACCCGCCGGUCCCGGGGGUACCCGAGCGAGCUGGGGCGGAGAGGUCGGCCCCGGGGUGCCGGGUCCCGGGGUGCCCGCCGCCGCCGCCGCUGCCCGGCUGCUGCUUUGUUCCCCUUCCCUCCGCCUGCCGCCGCUCUCCGGCCCGCCGAGUUGUAGCGGAGUAUUUAUUUCAGCGCAUUUAUUUUUAGGCUGGAAAAUAAAAGGCUUGGCACGGCGACCUUUGGCUGUCGCAUCCGGCGCCAAAUAAAAGGGUCGCGCUCUGGCCGAGGCCGCCCCAGCUCUUAUGUAAAUCCAUGUGCCGUCCCCAAGGACGCGCGGUCCCCGGGGCGCUGCCGUGAUCCAGCCCCCGCGGGGACGGAGGCGCUCCCCGGAGCUCAGCGCAGACCGCGGGAUCGGCAGCAACCCCCCGGAGCUCCGUCACCGGCGUCGGCGGCGAGGAGAGAGGAGGAUGCGGGCGGCGGAGCGGCCGGCGCUGCCCCGCGGCGGGCACGCUCUCCGCGGGGCCCCGGCGGGCGGCUGCUGAGCGCGGCGCCGCGGGCAUGCGGCGAAGGGGAGCGGGAGCCGCCGGCAGCGCGGGCGCCCCGGCGGGCGGGCGGCCCCUCGAGCGAGACUGAGGGUGGAUGGAGCCACAAAGGAGUUUGGCUGACACGUGCGGCGGGGCGGCCGGCGGCCGCGACUAGGGCCACCCCCCUCCCCUCCCUCCUCCCCUCCUCGCUAUGCUGCGCUCUCGCCGGGCCCCUCAGCGCGCUCGACGCACGGCGGCGAUGGAGCCGGCCGGGCUCCUCUGAGGCCGCCGCCGGACCCAGCAUGGCUUCGGCGGGGACCCCGGAGCAGCGGCUCCCCGGGGCGGAGCGGCCGGCGGCGGCGGGGGGCCGGGCGGAGGCG
RNAcentral lists this long non-coding RNA (1181 nucleotides) under Catharus ustulatus (Swainson's thrush). RNAcentral's name for it is "lncRNA (ENSCUSG00005003398.1)". Lineage: Eukaryota; Metazoa; Chordata; Aves; Passeriformes; Turdidae. The record is from RNAcentral.